UCAACUUAUAGCUAUCGCAUCACUUAUCUAUUGUUUCUUCCGCGGUGUUAACUGAUUUGGUUAAUGAAUCGUUCACAUUAACUACGAAGAUCGUUACUGAAACAAAAGCUAGUCGCGAACGCGUUAAACAAUGUGUUCUUCCGUAUUCUUACUUGUUUUAACCGAUAAUUGAAAAAAUGAAAGCAGUGUUUGUUCCGGUUACCUCGUCUCGAUCGUCGACCUGCACUCUUUUGUUCUCGAGGAAGUUUUGGAGACCAGCGAGGUUAUCAUCUGUGAUAUAGCUGGCGAGAGAUCGGUAGCAGAGCGAUACCAUCGAGUCAGUCCGGUGCAAGGUCUGCGGAAGAAAAGUGGAAAAUAUGCCGAUUGAAAAAUUGAAGUUGCGGACCGAUUCCUCGGAGGAGCGCGGCGUCCCUCCUCCGACCGAAAGCUGCGAAAGCAAUUUAAUCGCUGAGCUAAUAGACAGCGUAGCCUACGGAACCGUAACUCACGCGUGCCUACGUCCUUGUGAUUAUCUUUGAGCAACGCUGCGCGAAUACGUGAUAACUGCGCGUUCCUUUUGUCGCGACUCCGCGAAUCGACGACGAGUUCUCUCGUCGUUGCGAUUAUUCGGCAAUCAUCAUUCGAACGGUGACGAUUAUUGCUGUAUUCCGAUUUUUGUCCAUUUCUCGCAACGGUUGUCGACAGUUAUAGUGUCUCACGCCUUUAUUGGGUUAUCCCUUAAACGAUAUGUUCCCGCGUGCUUCCUUUGUUUUAAGGAAUUAAGACAGGAAUUAAAGAAUACGAGCAUUGCGUUGUUCACGAAAUUUUAUCUAAUGAUUCUGGAUUUCUUAUUGGAAUUAAUGGAAUUAGCGAAUUAAUGGUUCCUGGGGUAUAGUAGAAGAGAUCAGCAAUGGGCGAUUUUGACCUAUCCGGUGGUUCUAGUGCUAGAUCCAUGAUUAAAAGUAAAGGUCAGAGUGUACUCGCGGCGUGGCUCAGUUUUAAUGGAAUCGGUGCGUCGAAGAACCAACCUCCAGGACGUAAAGGCUCGAGGGAAAUUUCUGCAUUUCCGCGUAGAAAUGGACGUUCGGGUUUAAUGGAGCAGGACACGAUGUAGGUCGGCGA
Molecule: long non-coding RNA, 1101 nt
Organism: Nomia melanderi (Alkali bee)
Lineage: Eukaryota; Metazoa; Arthropoda; Insecta; Hymenoptera; Halictidae
Source: RefSeq, a predicted model, not a curated record